ACUCGAAUCUCAGAGUCCCAAAAAUGCUCUCUGACUUUUUCUUUGUGUUCCGCUGAGAGUCGACUCUUGCUUUCUUUGGAGUCGACCUACCAACCAUCGGAGUCGACUCGCGUUCCACUGGAGUCGACUCGAAUUUCAGACCCGAAAACUGCUCUCUGACUUUUCUGCCUAUGACUCCUAGGAGUCGACUCAUACUUCUCCGGAGUCGACUCAUACUUCUCCGGAGUCGACUCAUACUUCUCCGGAGUCGACUCGAAUUCCACUGGAGUCGACUCGAAGACUGUUCUUUUAAAUUUUCUUUUGAUUUUACUCCUCCAAUUUGAAUCCUUUGAACUUUAAACUUGGGCCAAUAAAUUGUAGCUUUCUUCCAACUUGAGAGCUUUGGAGGCCUUCUUGUGUUCUUCCAACUUGCUAUGUUCCUUGCAAAAUAAAUAUCUUUCUCCUUGCAACAUAAGCAUUAGUAUCUAUACUUCAAGGUUUUGUGAUCAUCAAAAUCAAUCUAUGAAUCAAUCUUUGGGUCAUCAAUCUCCCCCUUUUUGAUGAUGACAAAACUUGGAGUAUAUGCAAUAUAAAAGAUAUUGUUUUCUAGAAGUAAUACAUAGCAAAGUUGCAUG
Molecule: long non-coding RNA, 614 nt
Filed under: Phoenix dactylifera (date palm)
Lineage: Eukaryota; Viridiplantae; Streptophyta; Magnoliopsida; Arecales; Arecaceae
Description: long non-coding RNA (PDAC_LNC020358)
Source: RNAcentral